Podarcis lilfordi (Lilford's wall lizard) is the source of this 117-nucleotide non-coding RNA. Lineage: Eukaryota; Metazoa; Chordata; Lepidosauria; Squamata; Lacertidae. The record is from the annotation of a GenBank genome assembly.
ACCUUAGAGACCAACUAAGUUUGUUCUUGGUAUGAGCUUUCGUGUGCAUGCACACUUCUUCAGAUAACAUGCACACGAAAGCUCAUACCAAGAACAAACUUAGUUGGUCUCUAAGGU